AUCUGGCUCUUUCACAAGGGUCCGAGUUGUAAUUUUGAGAACUGUUUUCUGUGCUGGACCAUUUCUAAGUCUGUUGGAAAACAGCAUCAUAGAGGGUGAUAAUCCCGUUUGUGAUAUGGACUACCAGGGCUAUAUGAUACAGUUUCUAAGAGUCGAGUUGUUUGGGAAUGCAGCUCAAAGUGGGUGGUAAAUUCCAUCUAAGGCUAAAUAUAGGUGAGAGACCGAUAGCAUACAAGUACCGUGAGGGAAAGAUGAAAAGAACUUUGGAAAGAGAGUUAACAGUGUGUGAAAUUGUUGUAAAGGAAACAUUUAAACUUAUUGUUGUGCUUGUCAGUUCAGCCCUCUUAUCAGGGUGUAUUCUGGCAAAUCACGGGCCAACAUCAGUUUUUGAGUGCUGGAUAAGGGUCUUGGGAAUGUAGCAGUCUAGGCUGUGUUAUAGCCCAUGAUUUAGAUACAGUGCUUAGGACUGAGAACAAUCUGCAGCAAGC
This 488-nucleotide ribosomal RNA is filed under the name Phragmidium potentillae. RNAcentral describes it as "partial large subunit ribosomal RNA". It matches the Rfam family "Eukaryotic large subunit ribosomal RNA", at positions 120 to 610 of the family's 3401-position model. The record is from RNAcentral. Lineage: Eukaryota; Fungi; Basidiomycota; Pucciniomycetes; Pucciniales; Phragmidiaceae.